Molecule: small nuclear RNA, 166 nt
Organism: Bactrocera oleae (olive fruit fly)
Lineage: Eukaryota; Metazoa; Arthropoda; Insecta; Diptera; Tephritidae
Product: U1 spliceosomal RNA
Source: RefSeq, a predicted model, not a curated record
AUACUUAUCUGGCGUAGAGUUUACCGUGAUCAUGAAGGCGGUUCGUCCUUAGCAAGACUUGGCAAUUGCACUUCAGCUGAGUUGACCUUCACGAUAAUUCCUAAUGCGAAUAACUUGUGUGUGUAAUUUUUCGUAUUAUUAAUGUGAAUACAGCGCUCGCUUAAAG